Molecule: ribosomal RNA, 548 nt
Filed under: uncultured bacterium
Lineage: Bacteria
Description: bacterial SSU rRNA
Rfam family: Bacterial small subunit ribosomal RNA
Source: RNAcentral
CAGCUAACGCAUUAAGCACUCCGCCUGGGGAGUACGACCGCAAGGUUGAAACUCAAAGGAAUUGACGGGGGCCCGCACAAGCGGUGGAGCAUGUGGUUUAAUUCGAAGCAACGCGAAGAACCUUACCAGGUCUUGACAUCCCGGUGCCCGUCCUAGAGAUAGGAUUUUGCUUCGGCACACCGGUGACAGGUGGUGCAUGGUUGUCGUCAGCUCGUGUCGUGAGAUGUUGGGUUAAGUCCCGCAACGAGCGCAACCCUUAUUGUUAGUUGCCAUCAUUCAGUUGGGCACUCUAGCGAGACUGCCGGUAAUAAACCGGAGGAAGGUGGGGAUGACGUCAAAUCAUCAUGCCCCUUAUGACCUGGGCUACACACGUGCUACAAUGGCUGGUACAACGAGUCGCAAGUCGGUGACGGCAAGCUAAUCUCUUAAAGCCAGUCUCAGUUCGGAUUGUAGGCUGCAACUCGCCUACAUGAAGUCGGAAUCGCUAGUAAUCGCGGAUCAGCACGCCGCGGUGAAUACGUUCCCGGGCCUUGCACACACCGCCCGUC